CCUACGGGUGGCAGCAGUGAGGAAUAUUGGUCAAUGGACGCAAGUCUGAACCAGCCAUGCCGCGUGCAGGAAGACGGCUCUAUGAGUUGUAAACUGCUUUUGUACGAGGGUAAACGCAGAUACGCGUAUCUGUCUGAAAGUAUCUUACGAAUAAGGAUCGGCUAACUCCGUGCAAGCAGCCGCGGUAAUACGGAGGAUUCAAGCGUUAUCCGGAUUUAUUGGGUUUAAAGGGUGCGUAGGCGGUCGGAUAAGUUAGAGGUGAAAUCCCGAGGCUCAACUUCGGAAUUGCCUCUGAUACUGUUGGGCUAGAGAGUAGUUGAGGUAGACGGAAUGUAUGGUGUAGCGGUGAAAUGCUUAGAGAUCAUGCAGAACACCGGUUGCGAAGGCAGCUUACCAAGCUACUUCUGACGUUGAGGCACGAAAGCGUGGGGAGCAAACAGGAUUAGAUACCCGAGUAGUC
RNAcentral lists this ribosomal RNA (460 nucleotides) under uncultured bacterium. RNAcentral's name for it is "partial 16S ribosomal RNA". It matches the Rfam family "Bacterial small subunit ribosomal RNA", at positions 338 to 795 of the family's 1533-position model. The record is from RNAcentral.